UACAGAGGGUGCGAGCGUUAAUCGGAGUUACUGGGCGUAAAGGGCGCGUAGGCGGAUAUAUAAGAUUGAUGUGAAAUCCCUGGGCUUAACCUAGGAGCUGCAUCGAUGACUGUGUAUCUGGAGUACUGUAGAGGGUAGUGGAAUUUCCGGUGUAGCGGUGAAAUGCGUAGAGAUCGGAAGGAACACCAGUGGCGAAGGCGGCUACCUGGACAGAUACUGACGCUGAGGCGCGAGAGCGUGGGGAGCAAACAGG
Molecule: ribosomal RNA, 253 nt
Filed under: uncultured Methylococcus sp.
Lineage: Bacteria; Pseudomonadati; Pseudomonadota; Gammaproteobacteria; Methylococcales; Methylococcaceae
Description: partial 16S ribosomal RNA
Rfam family: Bacterial small subunit ribosomal RNA
Source: RNAcentral